Molecule: ribosomal RNA, 601 nt
Filed under: uncultured Chroococcales cyanobacterium
Lineage: Bacteria; Bacillati; Cyanobacteriota; Cyanophyceae; Chroococcales
Description: bacterial SSU rRNA
Rfam family: Bacterial small subunit ribosomal RNA
Source: RNAcentral
GGAAACGACUGCUAAUACCCAAUAUGCCUACGGGUGAAACUUUUUUGGCCUGAAGAUGAGCUCGCGUCUGAUUAGCUAGUUGGUGGGGUAAGAGCCUACCAAGGCGUCGAUCAGUAGCUGGUCUGAGAGGAUGAGCAGCCACACUGGGACUGAGACACGGCCCAGACUCCUACGGGAGGCAGCAGUGGGGAACUUUCCGCAAUGGGCGAAAGCCUGACGGAGCAAUACCGCGUGAGGGAGGAAGGUUUUUGGAUUGUAAACCUCUUUUCUCAGGGAAGAAUUUUGACGGUACCUGAGGAAUAAGCAUCGGCUAACUCCGUGCCAGCAGCCGCGGUAAUACGGGGGAUGCAAGCGUUAUCCGGAAUUAUUGGGCGUAAAGAGUCCGUAGGUGGUCAUGCAAGUCUGCUGUCAAAGCCCACAGCUUAACUGUGGAUAGGCGGUGGAAACUGCAUGACUUGAGUGCGGUAGGGGUAGAGGGAAUUCCCAGUGUAGCGGUGAAAUGCGUAGAUAUUGGGAAGAACACCGGUGGCGAAAGCGCUCUACUGGACCGUAACUGACACUGAGGGACGAAAGCCAAGGUAGCGAAAGGGAUUAGAUACCC